RNAcentral lists this ribosomal RNA (186 nucleotides) under Triticum aestivum (bread wheat). RNAcentral's name for it is "partial small subunit ribosomal RNA". The record is from RNAcentral. Lineage: Eukaryota; Viridiplantae; Streptophyta; Magnoliopsida; Poales; Poaceae.
AUGGGGCGGGGGAAGACGCAAGUGAAGCUGAUAGAGGACCGGACGAGCCAGCAGGUGCCCUUCUCCAAGCUCCGCAGUGGCUUGCACAGGAAGGCUUUCCAGCUCUCCGUGCUCUGCGACGCCGAGAUCGCCCUCGUCGUCUUCUCCCCAGGCGGCAGGCUCUACGAAUUUGCCAACGCUGGGUAA